CCUCGUCCACAUCUUCGUGUUGUUGCCUAGAAAUUUCGCUUUACUUCUCUAAACCACCCAGCAGCCCUUCUAUAGGUGGUGAUUAGUUGAGCAGCUGCCACACCCGUGUGCCUUUAUCCAACAGCUUCACCCGCCGUUCUCGGUCACGGACUCUGCAGUGUCACCACUUGGCCUCUGAGCAGGGACAGCGCCAUCUGCCCACCUGGCAGGAUCCCUGCACAACCGACAGACCACUGUCAAGGUCAUCGCCUUCCCGCCACAGCUCCUGCUUCUGCGCUCUCUCCUUCCUCAGCAAAUGAUUCUCCUCUUCUGUCCGGUGGCCUCCAGCAGUCUCUCUUCAUUCCUGAGCUGCAGGUCUAAGAUAUACCAGCCGACGGUGAUGGAUCCACGCUGAGGAGGGAGGGUCCCUCCACAUGGACACUACGUGUGACGAUGUGGCCUGGACCUGCUGCUGACCAGCCAAAUCCCUCGCCUCCCAACGCGGCUGGACCGGACGGGUCUGUGGAAGACGUGGAAGACCGGGACACGCACACACACAUCCCGGGAGAAAAGACUCAGGUCCAACCAGGGCAAGGACUCAUUGGCUGAAAAGCAGCUCUUCCAUGCCAGGUGGCCAUGGGCCUGUGACCUCUGCCCUUGGCUCAGCGAACAGCCCAGGAAGCCCACAGAGCCCCGGUGGAUGCUUGUUGGGACCCUCCAAAGACCUCGCUUCUCUCUGGCAUCCUCGCAGACCCACGCAAGCACUUUGGGGCUUUCUGAGAAACAGUUUGGAUCAAGAUAUGGGAAAUCAAUCCUCUGAAAGCCAAUUAACACAAUGACCUUGACUGACCAGUUUGCUGAAAAUCAAUUCCCUAAAUGAUCGAUGUACCCAAACCUUGAGACAAAUAUUUUAAACCUGGCCUGGCCAGUGUCUGUAGCCAUUGCUAGCAGGAGCAGGGGCAGGAGUAGGGGCUCAGCAUUCCAGCCAAAUAGCUGAGCCAGGGCCAAGGGCACAUUAGAAGAAGACUGUCAAGCCGGGCCAGUGCAUAGCUGCUAGAAAACAGCCAGAAAGAGAAACCUCUGGGGCCUGUCUCGGUGAUUCACCUAACAGAUCACAUGGGCCCAUCUCAUUCUGGGCACAUGGCUUUAGCGAAUUGAUCUAAUUCUGAGGACACAGCAGAGAGCAGAAGUC
Long non-coding RNA from Rhinolophus ferrumequinum (greater horseshoe bat), 1171 nucleotides. RefSeq lists it as uncharacterized. The record is from RefSeq and is a predicted model, not a curated record. NCBI's taxonomy places the organism in Eukaryota, Metazoa, Chordata, Mammalia, Chiroptera, Rhinolophidae. The transcript has 4 exons.